UACGUAGGUGCAAGCGUUGUCCGGAAUUAUUGGGCGUAAAGAGCUCGUAGGCGGUCUGUCGCGUCUGCUGUGAAAACCCGAGGCUCAACCUCGGGCCUGCAGUGGGUACGGGCAGACUAGAGUGCGGCAGGGGAGAACGGAAUUCCCGGUGUAGCGGUGAAAUGCGCAGAUAUCGGGAGGAACACCGGUGGCGAAGGCGGUC
Molecule: ribosomal RNA, 202 nt
Filed under: uncultured bacterium
Lineage: Bacteria
Description: partial 16S ribosomal RNA
Rfam family: Bacterial small subunit ribosomal RNA
Source: RNAcentral